This 497-nucleotide ribosomal RNA is filed under the name uncultured bacterium. RNAcentral's name for it is "partial 16S ribosomal RNA". It matches the Rfam family "Bacterial small subunit ribosomal RNA", at positions 28 to 507 of the family's 1533-position model. The record is from RNAcentral.
GAUGAACGCUGGCGGCGUGCCUAAUACAUGCAAGUCGAGCGAACAGACGAGGAGCUCGCCCCCCUGCCGUUAGCGGCGGACGGGUGAGUAACCCGUGGAUACCGUAUCUCUAAGACUGGGUUAAGUUCGGGAAACAGGAGCUCAUACCGGAUAACAUGUUCUACCGCAUGGUUGACCAGUGACAGACGGUCUUGCUGUUACUUUUACAUGGAUCCGAGCCGACUUAGCGAGUUGGUAAGGUAACGGCUUACCAAGGCAACGAUGCGUAGCCGACCUGAGAGGGUGAUCGGCCACACUGGAUCUGAGACACGUUCCAGACUCCUACGGGAAGCAGCAGUAGAGAAUCUUCCGCGAUGGGCGAGUGCCUGACGUUGCAGCGCCGGGGGAGGGAAGAAGGUCUUCUGAUCGGUGAGCGCUGUUAGUAGGGAAGAUCAAAAGUUUAAGUAACUAUGCACAUCAUGACGGUACCUAAUCAGAAAGCCACGGCUAACUACGUG